UGCAGAUGUAGCUCAGUGGCAGAGCACUUGCCUACCAUGUGCGAGGCCCUGGAUUUGAUCCCAAGCAUUGCAA
Molecule: transfer RNA, 73 nt
Filed under: Marmota monax (woodchuck)
Lineage: Eukaryota; Metazoa; Chordata; Mammalia; Rodentia; Sciuridae
Description: tRNA.Gly
Source: RNAcentral